RNAcentral lists this microRNA (21 nucleotides) under Chrysemys picta (Painted turtle). Its description in RNAcentral is "cpi-miR-212-5p". Its record names the gene cpi-miR-212-5p. Lineage: Eukaryota; Metazoa; Chordata; Testudines; Emydidae. The record is from miRBase by way of RNAcentral.
ACCUUGGCUCUAGACUGAUUA